RNAcentral lists this long non-coding RNA (221 nucleotides) under Mytilus galloprovincialis (Mediterranean mussel). Lineage: Eukaryota; Metazoa; Mollusca; Bivalvia; Mytilida; Mytilidae. The record is from RNAcentral.
AGAUUCGUAUGAAACCUGAAAGGGCAUGUAGCAUUAUCAUGUCUUGUGCAAUUCUGCACAAUAUAGCUUUGUGGAUGAAUGAGCCUAAACUGCCAGAAGAUCAAGAAGAGGAGAUGCCUAAUGUAGAUGCAGUGUACAAAGGAGCCAAUGAUGGAAGGAAAAUUAGGGGUCACAUCACUCAGAUGUACUUCACCAAUUAAAUUCACACAUUAAAUUCUUUG